RNAcentral lists this ribosomal RNA (1024 nucleotides) under Bacillus sp. (in: firmicutes). RNAcentral describes it as "bacterial SSU rRNA". It matches the Rfam family "Bacterial small subunit ribosomal RNA", at positions 29 to 1044 of the family's 1533-position model. The record is from RNAcentral. Lineage: Bacteria; Bacillati; Bacillota; Bacilli; Caryophanales; Bacillaceae.
ACGACGCGGGGCGUGCUAUACUUGCAAGUCGAGGGGACAGAUGGGAGCUUGCUCCUGAUGUAGCGGCGGACGGGUGAGUAACACGUGGGUAACUGCCUGUAAGACUGGGAUAACUCCGGGAAACCGGGGCUAAUACCGGAUGGUUGUUGAACCGCAUGGUUCAAACAUAAAAGGUGGCUUCGGCUACCACUUACAGAUGGACCCGCGGCGCAUAGCUAGUUGGUGAGGUAACGGCUCACCAAGGCGACGAUGCGUAGCCGACUUGAGAGGGUGAUCGGCCACACUGGGANUGAGACACGGCCCAGANUCNUACGGGAGGCAGCAGUAGGGAAUCUUCCGCAAUGGACGAAAGUCUGACGGAGCAACGCCGCGUGAGUGAUGAAGGUUUUCGGAUCGUAAAGCUCUGUUGUUAGGGAAGAACAAGUACCGUUCGAAUAGGGCGGUACCUUGACGGUACCUAACCAGAAAGCCACGGCUAACUACGUGCCAGCAGCCGCGGUAAUACGUAGGUGGCAAGCGUUGUCCGGAAUUAUUGGGCGUAAAGGGCUCGCAGGCGGUUUCUUAAGUCUGAUGUGAAAGCCCCCGGCUCAACCGGGGAGGGUCAUUGGAAACUGGGGAACUUGAGUGCAGAAGAGGAGAGUGGAAUUCCACGUGUAGCGGUGAAAUGCGUAGAGAUGUGGAGGAACACCAGUGGCGAAGGCGACUCUCUGGUCUGUAACUGACGCUGAGGAGCGAAAGCGUGGGGAGCGAACAGGAUUAGAUACCCUGGUAGUCCACGCCGUAAACGAUGAGUGCUAAGUGUUAGGGGGUUUCCGCCCCUUAGUGCUGCAGCUAACGCAUUAAGCACUCCGCCUGGGGAGUACGGUCGCAAGACUGAAACUCAAAGGAAUUGACGGGGGCCCGCACAAGCGGUGGAGCAUGUGGUUUAAUUCGAAGCAACGCGAAGAACCUUACCAGGUCUUGACAUCCUCUGACAAUCCUAGAGAUAGGACGUCCCCUUCGGGGGCAGAGUGACAGGUGGUGC